Molecule: unclassified non-coding RNA, 342 nt
Filed under: soil metagenome
Description: partial contains 5.8S ribosomal RNA, internal transcribed spacer 2, and large subunit ribosomal RNA
Rfam family: 5.8S ribosomal RNA (bases 1-120)
Source: RNAcentral
GAUGAAGAACGUAGCGAAAUGCGAUAAGUAGUGUGAAUUGCAGAAUUCAGUGAAUCAUCGAAUCUUUGAACGCACAUUGCGGCCAUAGGUAUUCCUUUGGCCAUGCCUGUUCGAGCGUCAUUUACACCCUCAAGCCUAGCUUGGUGUUGGGCGUCUGUCCCGCCGUUUUCGCGCGCGGACUCGCCUCAAAGUCAUUGGCGGCGGUCGUGCCGGCCCCCUCGCGCAGCACAUUUGCGCUUCUCGGAGGCCCGGCGGAUCCGCGCUCCAGCAAGACCUUUCACGACUUGACCUCGGAUCAGGUAGGGAUACCCGCUGAACUUAAGCAUAUCAAUAAGCGGACGA